GAUGAACGCUAGCUACAGGCUUAACACAUGCAAGUCGAGGGGAAACGAGUAGAGAAAGCUUGCUUUUUCUAGGCGUCGACCGGCGCACGGGUGAGUAACGCGUAUCCAACCUGCCCAUCACUUGGGGAUAACCUUGCGAAGUAAGACUAAUACCCAAUGACGUCUCUAGAAGACAUCUGAAAGAGAUUAAAGAUUUAUCGGUGAUGGAUGGGGAUGCGUCUGAUUAGCUUGUUGGCGGGGUAACGGCCCACCAAGGCGACGAUCAGUAGGGGUUCUGAGAGGAAGGUCCCCCACAUUGGAACUGAGACACGGUCCAAACUCCUACGGGAGGCAGCAGUGAGGAAUAUUGGUCAAUGGACGAGAGUCUGAACCAGCCAAGUAGCGUGAAGGAUGAAGGUCUUACGGAUUGUAAACUUCUUUUAUACGGGAAUAAAGUUUCCUACGUGUAGGAUUUUGUAUGUACCGUAUGAAUAAGCAUCGGCUAACUCCGUG
This 492-nucleotide ribosomal RNA is filed under the name uncultured bacterium. RNAcentral describes it as "bacterial SSU rRNA". It matches the Rfam family "Bacterial small subunit ribosomal RNA", at positions 28 to 507 of the family's 1533-position model. The record is from RNAcentral.